ACAUGGUGUCGACGUCCAACAGGAGCUC
RNAcentral lists this small RNA (28 nucleotides) under Bombyx mori (domestic silkworm). RNAcentral's name for it is "ovarian small RNA-11175". The record is from RNAcentral. Lineage: Eukaryota; Metazoa; Arthropoda; Insecta; Lepidoptera; Bombycidae.